CUAGCUAGCUCGCUCUAUGUAUGUAAGUGUUGUUCUCGCACGCGCGCGCGCACGUACGCAUGUAACCGCCAAUUGCAAUAUUUGAAAAAAGAACCCGAUCAACCACUGUUUUGCUGUUCAGAAGUCCGUCUAUAAUUCAUCAUAAACUAAAGGAACACAGGUCAGAUUCGGACAACGACUUCAAAUUCAUUCGCAGAAUACGCUAAACAAUUGGACGACGGAUACACUGGAUGAUAAUGUAGAUGGUCCAGGAUUAUCUGGGAAGGAAACUACAGGUGUUGAACACAGAAAACCGUUUACAAGAAAACAACUGGAGUUUGUGAAAGCUGAAAGAAAUUAAUCUUGCCGGGUACGCAUUCACUUCACCUUGGUCGAGUGCAGCACAGUGGAUAAAUGUGUUGCUGAAGGAAAACACCAUUGCUAGGAUUCAAACCCACGACACUCUGUUGAAAGGUGAGAGUCAGAACCACUAGACCACGACGCACCCACAAUUAACAAGCUGAUGUCAUACCCCCACUUGUUCUUUUGUAUUUUAUAACAAGAAUUCAUGUUUAUUCACAUUUUGACCUCCAAGAACUAAAAAGUGGAGUGAAGAUUUAUUUAAUGUAAACACAUGCAUUGCUUGAAAUCAUUUCAUGCUACGUGGGACAUAUCAUACACACGUGUACGAAAAUAUGAAAUU
Long non-coding RNA from Lytechinus pictus (painted urchin), 682 nucleotides. RefSeq lists it as uncharacterized. Lineage: Eukaryota; Metazoa; Echinodermata; Echinoidea; Temnopleuroida; Toxopneustidae. The transcript is spliced from 3 exons. The record is from RefSeq and is a predicted model, not a curated record.